RNAcentral lists this unclassified non-coding RNA (265 nucleotides) under Hevea brasiliensis (rubber tree). Lineage: Eukaryota; Viridiplantae; Streptophyta; Magnoliopsida; Malpighiales; Euphorbiaceae. The record is from RNAcentral.
CAAAAUGUUGGUUUUAAUGAAAUACCAGAUUUGGCUUUGGAUGUUACAGCUGUGUGUUGUUCAUUAUGUUGUUAGAUUUCAGAGUAAGCUUUGAUUGUAGAUAAAAUGUUUUGUUAGAUCUGGGUGCAAGUUCAUAGUCUGGUGAGAGUGAAUAUGGCACGUAUCAUACUUUUGUUUGGAAAAAUAGGAAGAACUAUUAAAGGAUGGCAUACCUCUUCCUCUCCUUGGAGGGGCUCUGCCUCUAAUCUACUUUCAUCAGUAUUGG